AAAUAAAUUUUUAUACUGUAUAAGAUAUCACAUCUACACCACUAAUAAUAACAGAACAUCAUAAUUUAAAAUAAAAUAUAUCAAUUUCUUAAAACCUUACGAUUAUUCUUAUAAUAAAAUCACAUUUAAUAUUUGUUCUAUAUCCAACAAAAUAAGUCAAAACCAUAUUAUUAACCCCAAACUUGAUAUCAUAAUAUCAAAGUCUUAUAACCCACUUUAAUCAUAAACAAUAAUUCUAAACUUUCAGGAACACCAUAACAUAUGUGAGAUAAUAAUUAUCCAAUUUAUUCUCAUGAAUAAACACUUCGAUAUUAUUCCUCAAUCUUAUCUUGAUUAUAGCCUGCAUAUAAUUUAUACAAGAUAAAUAGUUAGAAAACAUUGGGGUGAUAUAAGUUCCAAGUCACUCAAUUAGAAACAAACAUAAAAAGAUACAUACAAAACACAAAAACAUCUAAGGUGGACAUAUAACUAUACAAGAUAUGACAAGAUAUAUACAUCAAAUGCAAUAUUCAUGCACCUAUACUCCUUAUACAUGUCUUACAAAUAACUCAAGCUCAAGAAAGUAGCAUAGGAGGAAAUCGACUAUCAUAUAAGAAUAACAUCCCUCUCAAUGAAUUUUAGUGCAAAACACUUUCACUACUAUGAUUUUAUUAAGAGACUAGUCUGCAUUACCAAGAUUUAUCGAUACACCAUAACAUCACGAGGUAAUAAAUCCCAAUAGCCAUUCAACAUUCAAUUAGUUUUUCUCUCUCUUUUUAUAAAUUCUCACAAUGUCUCUCUGCCUUGUUGAACCAAAAUAAGUUUUAGAAUAAUGUCUCUAAGGUUUUGAUGCUGACAAUGUAUAAAAGAACAAUUGGAUACCCUAAAUUUUGUUGUAGUAUGCAGGAACAUAGAAUUACAUUCUGACUCUGAAGUCAAUAUUUUGACUCUGAAAACACUAAAUUCUGAAGAAAAUAAUUCCAUCUUGGUUCUACAAGGUAGACAUAUUUGGUACCCAAGAUAAAGUUUUGAUGACAAAGAUCUGAUUUGAAGUUGGUAAAUAAAAAUCCAAAGCUCUGAUCAAAUAUGGAUCAAGUUAGUAAGACAAACUUUGGUAUGAAGACGAAAAUCUGAAGGAUAAAGUCAACGCUCAGCGCUCUGAAGAACAGCUGACCAGUCUUGUCUUAUUUUGAAGAAAUGUCAUUAUCCAUGUUUAGUAGUAUGUUUUGUCAUGUUGAGUUAAAUGAAGACACGUUGUAGAAGCGGAUAAAGCUCUUAUAAGACAAAGUGGAUGCAACAUAUCAUUCUUAAAGAAGCAAAGAAAUUCUAAAGUAGUGUUCAACGAAAUUAUCCCUCAGAGGAAAAGAUUUUAAUUAUGAAGAUAGCUCUUGAUGUGCUGGAAAUAUCUUCAAACAAUGGCUCUAUUCAAAUCUCUUAUAAAAUUACAUUGAGCGUUUGAAGAAAGAGAAACAAUUAAGUGCUUUCAAUUGUGCCAAAACUCUGACAAAAUUUCUAGUGCAAAAACACUUAAAAAAAUUCUUACAAACUGUCAUCCUAGAAUUUUUUAAGUGUUUAGAAUUACUUUGUGCUUAUUUUAGUUUACCACUAUUUGACUCAAAAAUGUAAACAAACAUCAAUUUUUACUAUAAACUCUGAUCAUGUUGAUUUGUUUUUAAUUUAGAAAAUAUUUUUCAUAAAAAUUCAACACACUUCAACCUACCUUUUUUGUGUUUUUCUCACCUUUAUGCCUCUCUAUAUUUUUUUGGUUUUACCCAAAUGCUCCUAUCCACAUAAAUAUAAUUAUGAUCGAGGUGCUCCUGACAUCUCGAUAUGAGAUAGGGUUUAGAUCUUGGAGCCUAACAAUGAUAUUUUUUUUUUGGAAAGGUAUUGUUAAGUUAAAUAUAAUAUAUAAAUUUGUUGUUUCCAAAUUCAUUCCAUCUUUCCGUAGUCACUUUAAUGACCAAAUCGCGUUCUCACUUUUAAUUAGGGAUUCCAGGACGUCACGUGAGCUACAUAAGGAUUCUAUUGAAAAUUAUUUGGGAUUUCUUAGUAGGUCUUAUAUUCUCUCAACCUAACCUCUAUAUGUUAUCAUUAUAUACCUUAUAUAUAUCAACAAUUUAAAGUGUUGAAUUUAUCAUUCUUAUCUGUGUAAGUAGGUAUAUCGCUGAAGCGACCAUAUUUUUUUUUUUAAAGUUUGGGACAUAUGUACUUUUACACAUCUAAAAUGAUGAGGUUUCUUGCCUACAAUUAAGAUUAAUUUUACAUUAAUUUCUUUUAAAAAAUUAAUAUGUCUAAUGAAUUCUCUAAACUACAUAUGCAACAUGUACAAACUUAUAAAUUGGUAUAUUUCAAAAACAAUGGUAUUGUGCCUAAAUGAAAAUGAUAAAGACUUUAAAACUUUUUAGUUUGUAUGUGAAGAAAAUCUACUCUAAAUACAUUAUGAUUUAUAGAUUUUUUUUUUAUGGGAAUUAGUAUAGAAAUGUUACAAAAACAAACUAAAUAAAUUAUGAUAAUAAUAAUAAUAAUACUAAUAAUGACUAUAUUACUCAUGUUAGGAUCAAAGCUCAACUAUAUACAUGAUGAUCAAUUAAUAUACAAAUGCUACAAAAUAUCACAUAUCAGAUCUUCAAUUAAUUGAUUUUUGAGUUGUUUCUUUCGUUAAUUUACAUUUAGCAUGACAUAUUUUAUCUUUCUUUAUCUGGUCAAAUAGUACAAUAUGUUUGUAUUUCCUCUUUUAUUUUUCGUAUGCUCUAUAAAAUGAAAUCAUCAUUAAUUUUAACUUUGUCAACGGCCAAAUACAACUGACAUAUAGGUUAUUUACUUAGGUUUCAACUUUGGAUGUUAGGGCAUCUCACAUUCUCACAAUGACGGUAUUAUUAGGUGAUUAGUUGGUAAAUUUAUCAAAAUAUCCUCAAGAUAACACCUUUAAAUAUAAAAUUCAACAAUUUACUUUUCUCACUUGUCAUUAUAUCAAUUUGAAUUUUAUUAGAUUAUAUAUCAAGAACCUAGGUCAUAUUAUCCAUAAAACAUCUCUACUUCAUUCCCAAGAAAACAAAGAUAAAAAUUUAAUAAUAUAUUUAACAUGCUUAUCUUUUAUAGGCUAUUAAUUAAAUUGCAAGGUUAGAGAAAUAUAUACAAAUGUAAGAGAAACAACAUUAUGAAGAGAAACUAAAUGAAAAUCAUAUACAUAAUAGAGAAAAAAAUAACCUUAACUAUGUAGGCUUGUCCAAACGUUGGCAAUAACCUUCAAAACACCUCAGUUGUCCAAAAGGAGCAUGCGGAUUUUUUAUAUAACACUCAAAGUCCUCACUACAACUUUGCGCUAACUUACUUACUCCAUCAACUACAACAAGAUAUAGGGAAACAAAGAGAAUCAUAAUAUAAAACAACCUGAGAGUUUCAACCAUUUUUUCACCUUUGCAUGUAACAAAUAGAAAUUGGUUUGAUCACUAUAUAUAGUAAAAAAACCUCUUUUCUUUACAAAUAUAGUAAAAAUCCUCUUGUUAUGUUUACAUCAAUUAAAUAGUUUAUUUUAAUUAUGUUGUUGCAAGAAAUCCUUUAAAGUUAGAAUAAUUUUUAAAUGUCCCUAAAGUACAUUGAUGAAUCAUAUUUGCCCCUUUAGCUCAUAGAGUAAAUCUCAAAAAAAUAUUUUACUUGUAAUUAGAGUUCAUUGUCGUUUACCAACUUUUCAUUAUUAUUAUUAUUAUUAUUAUUAUUAUUAUUUCAUAAUAGAGAGAGGGAAACCAAUAUUAUCACAAAAAUGUUUGUAUUAGUGGAAACCAAGUUAUCCUCUGUCAAAGACCUCAUUAAUUUGUUUAAUAUUAACCGUUUGAUUUUUUUUCCGAAAUGACAACCAUUGGCAGAGACUAACUUGAGGGACAAAAAUGUAACGUUAAUUAGUUAUGUGAUCAAUAUGAAAACAACAAAUAAAUUAAGGGGCCAAAUAUUCAGUUUAGCCUUUUUCUUUUAAUGAGAGUGUUUUAGUAUGAGAUAGUGUAUAGAGAAUGUGUUUUCAAUGAAUGGAAAAUUUGUGGGAACAUGUAUUUAUCAUUGGAGGAUUUCAGAAAAAAUGAAAGUUGAAAAGUAGCGAAAAAAUGUUGUAUUAAUUAAUUCACUCCUUUAGUUAAUAGAUUCACAAGUUCAAAAACGAAUUAAUUGAUUUAUCGUCAUCCUAAUGAAAAAUGAAUCGAUUCAUAAUAGUUUUGAAUUUAUUUGAUCAUUUAUUUUCAAAAUUCAACAUUUCUCCUGGUUCGUGUAAUUUGUGAUUUUUAUUUACAGUCAACAUUUCUAUUUCUAUUUACAGUCAACAUUUCUAUUUACAUUCAACAUUUCAAAAUUCAACAUUUCUAAUUUGUAAUUUUUUUUAAUAGAGGCCAAAAUCGCAACAUUUUAAAACUUAGGGAUCGAAAAGUGCAGUUUAACCUUUAUUUUAUUAUGGUGGCACAUUUUUAAAUAAAACAUAAUUUAAGGAUAUUUUUGCAAAAAGAAUGUCUAUUCUCUGGUUUUCAAAUGGAUGAUCAAAAUUUUCAUCUAUAAAUUUUUCUCGAAAUGUUGUGAUACUAUAAAAAUAGAUGGAGUGACUAAUGAUUACUUGAGGCUAGACUUUUCCCCUUUUCCCUUGGAGCUUGGUUUUAGAUUUUUCCUAUGCCUCCUCCUAAUGCCAUAUGAAUGUAGGAUGAGUUGAAGCGAUCUUUCCUAACUCAAUAUUUCCACGCAAUCAAAGUUUCUGAAUGGGGAAACGAAACAAUAAGUUUUCCACAAAAAUAUUGGGAGUCGUUAUGCACACAGUUAAAUAUUAAACAAAAUAGUGUAUGCACUACCCAGAGGCAGACCCAGACUUUCGAUACAGGUGAGACAAAACUUUGAAGAAAGUAUAUAUAUAUAUAUAUAUAUAUAUAUAUAUUUGGCUUUUGCACAGGUUUCUGACCCACCAAAGAUGGACGACUAAUCCGGCUCGUGUGUAGAGGCAUGCACACUGGCCAAGCGUUGUUCCCCCUGGAAAUCGAACUGGAUAUUCCCUGGGUACGUCCUUGAAGGAGCUCCUUGCCACUGGAGCCCAAACAACUUAUAAAGCUAACUUGUGACAAAAUAAAUGCAACAACAAAAUGGUUUAGAAGUGUCCAUUUUACCAACGGGAGUAGAGGGUGUUGAACCCAAGACGCAUUGCAGGGUAAUGAAGCAUUUACCGCUAGGCCAAGUAACUAAACAUGAUAAUCUUCCAACAUAUAUUAUAUAUAAUGCAUAAAAUCCUAAAUUAUAAAAUAAGUAUUAUAGAAAGGGGGUUGCUAACUUACACCCACCUAAAAACACUAAGGUGCAAGUUAGCAAGCUACACCAACUUAUUUUUUACAAAACAACCAAUCUCCAUUAUUAUAAGUCAUUUGAAGUUAAAGGGCAGUUGUGUCAAUUUAACAAUAUUGUUCAUUUUUGUUUAUAAGAACAGAUCUACUCGCUUCCCUCAUACAAUUAUAACAUUAAGAACAACUUCUUUUUUUUUUAAACAAAAGAUUUGCUUAAGAGAACAAGCCUGAUUGCCUUUUCAUUAAAAAAAAAAAACAUAAUUGCCUUUAGAAAAAUUGUUCAUUUUAAUAAGAAAAAGAAGGAGGUCAAUAGAUUUAAUAGGAAAAAAAUAUUUUUAUGCAUGAAAAAGGAUCAGCAGAUUGAAUAGUAAAAAAAAAACAGUUUCAAGGAAACAAAAUACAUAUAAAUCUAUAUGCUUUAAAAACAUUAAAAAAAAUCAAGACAAAAACAUUAUUUGGAAUUAUGAAAGUGGGUGUAAGUUAGUGAGGUUGGUGUAAAAUAUUUGUUAAAAUUUAUCAAAAUGAGUGUAAAUAAUCAAGUGGAUGUAGGUUGCUAACUUGCACCUUAAUAAUUUUAGGUGGGCGUAACUUGCUAACUUGCACCUUAGUAUUUUUAGGUGGGUGUAAGUUAGCAACUCCCUUAUAGAAAUUAUCUAAAAAAUAUUUAAGUUUUUAAAUUGAGAGUAGAAAAAACCAAAUAAAAGACAUUUAAAACUAAUAAUAAUUGUUUUCGUAAAAUAAAUAGAUUUGAUAUUUUAUAAAAUAUCACAUCCACACCACUAAUAAUAACACGACAUCAUAAUUUAAAAUAAAAUAUUUCGGCUUCUUAGAGCCUUACAAUUAUUCUAUACCCAACAAAAUAAGUCAAGACCAUGUUAUUAACCCCAAACUUGAUAUCAUAAUAUCAAAGUCUUACAACCCAAUUUAAACAUAACAAUAAUUCUACAAACUUUUAGAAACGCCACCAUAACAUAGGUGAGAUAAUAAUUAUACAAUUUAUUCUCAUGAUUAAACAUGUUGACACUAUUCCUUAAUCUUGUUGUCUUGAUGAUAGCCUGCAUAUGAUAUAUACAAGAGAAAUAGUUAGAAAACAUUGGGGUGAUAUAUGUUCCAAGUCACUCAAUUAGAAACAAACAUAAAAAGAUGUGUACAUAUAAUUAUAUAAGAGAUAUACAUCAAAUGCAAUAUUCAUGCACCUCUACACCUUUUACAUGUCGUAUAAAUAACUCAAGCUCAAGAAAAUAGCAUAGGAGGAUAUCAACAAUCAUACAAGAAUAACAUCUUUCUUAAUGAAUUUUAGUACAAAACACUUUCACUAUUAGGAUUUUAUUAGAAGACUAAUUUGAGUUACCAAGAUUUAUCAGUACGUCCUAACAUCAUGGUGUCAACAAGAGUCGUUGAGAUUUUCGCACCGAAACAUAGUUAUCCAUAAGGUCGGGAUAAUAAAUCUAAAUAGCCCUUUACCAUCCAAUUAACUCAAUACUUUGACUCACAUAUUAAACAACCUAUGUAUGAAGCAUGUUCUCCUAAAAAAAUAGCAAAUGCAUUCAUCAUUUAUUUUCCAUAUAAAAAUAUUAUACCAUCCUAGCGUUUAACAAGCUAGGUACAUCAUAAACAAUAUAUUACCAAAGCGCCAUACUUUUCCUAUUGUUAUCUUGGUGAAUCAUGUCAAUAUUAUUCAUGAUAAAAAUUAUUCACAACACAUACAUUCUCAAGAAAAACUUUUUAAUUAUGUCAAAACGAUAAUUUAAUUCUUACACUAAAAACUAAAAUUCUAAUCAUCAUUAAAAUAUUAAUUAUGUAAUCUAUUUUUUUUAUUUGUAAUAAUAAUUCAAUUAGUAAAUAGAAAAUUAAGAAUUAGUUAAUAAUUGCAGUAGAUCACUAGUUGUGUUUAGUAAUCAACUACCUAUAGUGAAAAUGCGCUUAGUUUAGGGGUACCAUUAAGUUUAUACACCAACCAUAUUUUAUCAACACAAAAUCCCUGCCCAUCCCCUCCACUCAUGACCAUUGUAAAAGAAUCUCCCCCUUACCUUAGUUACGAGUGUUAUAUCCUAAUAUUCAUACUUUGGUAGAUCAAUUACACUCAAAAUCAUAUCAUUCUAUUUUUUAGUCUUGCUAUUCUUAUUUUGUGAACAUUUUUCUUUAGAUUUUUUUUUUUUCAUUUGAGAUUUAAAAGGGCUUCAAAUAGAGUUAAAUUUUCUCAUUUUACACUCUACAAUUAGUCUCUCUCUCUCUCUCUCUCUCUCUUUCUCUCUCUCUUUCUCUCUCUCUCUCUCUCUCUCAAUCCACACAAUGUCUUUCUGCCUUGUUGAACCUAGAUAAGUUUUAGAAUAAUGUCUCUAAGGUUUUGAUGUUAACUAUGUAUAUAAGAAAAAUUGGGUACUCUAAAGUUUGUUCUGGUGUGUAGGACCAUAUAAUUAAAUUCUGACUCUGAAGUCAAUAUUUUGACUCUGAAAAACACUAAGCUCUGAAAGAUAUGCUCUAAGCAAAGUAGAACAUAUUUGGUACCCAAGACAAAGUUCUAAUGACAAUGCUUUGAUUUGAAGAUGGUCAGUAAAAAGCCAAAGCUCUAAUCAAAUAUAGAUAAAGUUAUGAAGACAAGCUUUGGUCUGAAGACGAAGUUCUGAAGGAUCAAGACAACGGUCAAUGCUAUGAAGAAUAUCUGAUCAAUUUUUUCUUAUUUUGAAGAAACGUCAUUGUCCAGGUUCAUUAAUAUGUUUUGUCGCGUUGAGUUAAAUGAAGACACGUUGUAAAAAUGAAUAAAGCUCUUAUAAGACCAAGUGGAUGCAACAAAUCAUUCUAAAAGGAGCAAAGAAAUUUUGAAGUGGUGUUCAAUGAAAUUAUCCCUUAGAGGAAAACAAUUUAUUUAUGAAGAUAGAUCUUGAUGCGCUUACAAUAUCUUCAAACAACCUAUUCAAAUCUCUUAUAAAAGUACAUUGAGCGUUUGAAGAAAGAGACACAACUACACGUUUUCAAUUGUGUUACAGAUAUCACAUAUAAGAUCUUCAAUUAAUUGAUUUUUGAGCUGCUCCAUUCAUAUAUUUACAAUUAGCAUGACAUGUUUUAUCUUUCUUUAUCUAAUCAAAUAGUACUAUAUGUUUGUAUUGCCUCUUUUUUAUUUUUCAUAUGCUCUAUAAAAUGAAACCAUCAUUAAUUUAAACCUUGUCAACGACCAAAUACAACUGACCUAUGGGUUAGUUACUUAGGUUUUAAAUUUGGAUGUUAGAGAAUCUCACAUUAUCCCUAUGAUAGUAUUAUUAGGUGAUUAGUCGGUAAAAGCAUCAAAAUAUCUUUAAGAUAACACCUUCAAAUAUAAAAAAUUACAAUUUACUCCCUACUCUUGAGAUCUAUAACUCAAUUUGAAUUGUGUUAGAUUAUAUGUCAAGAACCAAGGCCAUAUUAUCCCUAAAACAUCUAUACUUCAUUCGCAAGAAAACAAAGUUAAAAAAUUUCAUAAUAAAUUUAAUAUGCUUAUCUUUACGGGCCUUAGAAUUUUCUUGUAUAAGCUAGAGUACCCCUUGCACUCCCUUUUUAAUUUAAUAUAUAUUUACAUAACAUGCUUCUAAAGCUAUUAAAUAAAUUCCAAAGUUAGAGAAAUAUAUGAAAGUGUAAGAGAAACAACAUUAUGAUAAGAAAAGUAAAUGAAUAUCGUAUACAUAAUAGAGGGAAAAAAAACCACCUUAACUAUGCAGGCCCGUUCAAUUGUUGGCAAAAACCUUCAAAGCACCUCAGGUGUCCAAAAGGAACGUGUGGAUUUUUUAUAUAACACUCAAAGUCCUCACUGCAAGUUUGUUCUAACUUACUUUCUCCGUCAACUACAACAAGACAUAAGGAAACAAAAAGAAUCAUAAUAUAAAAUAACCUGAGAGUUUCAACCAUUUUUUUCACCUUUGCAAGAAACGAAUAUA
RNAcentral lists this long non-coding RNA (9187 nucleotides) under Medicago truncatula (barrel medic). Its description in RNAcentral is "lncRNA gene40731". The record is from RNAcentral. Lineage: Eukaryota; Viridiplantae; Streptophyta; Magnoliopsida; Fabales; Fabaceae.